GACGAACGCUGGCGGCGUGCUUAACACAUGCCAGUCGAACGGAAAGGCUCCAGCUUGCUGGAGUACUCGAGUGGCGAACGGGUGAGUAACACGUGGGUAAUCUGCCCUGCACUCUGGGAUAAGCCUGGGAAACUGGGUCUAAUACUGGAUAUGACCUUUCUCCUUAUGGGGUUUGGUGGAAAGUUUUUCGGUGUAGGAUGAGCCCGCGGCCUAUCAGCUUGUUGGUGGGGUGAUGGCCUACCAAGGCGACGACGGGUAGCCGGCCUGAGAGGGUGAUCGGCCACAUUGGGACUGAGAUACGGCCCAGACUCCUACGGGAGGCAGCAGUGGGGAAUAUUGCACAAUGGGCGGAAGCCUGAUGCAGCGACGCCGCGUGAGGGAUGACGGCCUUCGGGUUGUAAACCUCUUUCAGCAGGAACGAAGCGUAAGUGACGGUACCUGCAGAAGAAGCACCGGCUAACUAUGUG
RNAcentral lists this ribosomal RNA (467 nucleotides) under uncultured bacterium. RNAcentral describes it as "partial 16S ribosomal RNA". It matches the Rfam family "Bacterial small subunit ribosomal RNA", at positions 28 to 507 of the family's 1533-position model. The record is from RNAcentral.